RNAcentral lists this long non-coding RNA (5295 nucleotides) under Sus scrofa (pig). RNAcentral's name for it is "lncRNA (ENSSSCG00050016604.1)". Lineage: Eukaryota; Metazoa; Chordata; Mammalia; Artiodactyla; Suidae. The record is from RNAcentral.
ACACACUUGUUGUGUGUAUUUCUUGGAGAACAGGGUGAGCCUAGCAGUGAUGACUAAUAUCUUUCUACUAACCAGGUAAAUGUGAAAGUGGGUCUUACCAAGGUGCCACAAUGCAGACCAUCGAACUUCACUGUCUAGGUGAGUGAGAAUGGUGUCCCUAACAUUUGUGUUCCUGUCUUUUUUUGCAGGCGUGAGGUUCAGAGAUGAUGUGAUAUUCGCUGAUUAAAGACAUUCUUAUAUACAGAUGGCUACAUAACUCAUGAUUUUAGUCUUUUAUGUUCACUUUGUUUUUGACAUGUAAUCAGGAAUUUAAUUUUCCCUAAGAACUCUAGUCAGAAGGAGAUUUUUUCGUAUUUUGUGUAAAGGUAAAUUGUAUCAAGCAUCGUAGUGAUGGACAGGUUUGCAGAGGUGACAUCGCUAGUGUCAAGGUCAAUGAUGAUGGAGCCUAAACCAGAGCACAGGCCAUCGGAUCUCCAGGUAUCUGAGUAAGUGAUGAUGUGUCCUAACACUUCUUAUUACCACAAUUUUUUUUCAGGCAUCAGGGUGAAAAAUAAUAGAGUCCUUAUCAAUCUAGAAAACAAUAGUUUUCAUUUUAUAUUUUAGAAAGAGUUGAGCACUCUUUGGUGUUGAGUGAUUGCACAUAUGCAGAUAUUUAAUAUGGUUUUCCCACUACAGUACUGCCAUAGUUUUGUUUUCUUUUUAAACAGUUGUCCAGUCAAGAAACUCUGGCUUCCCAACAUUGGUGUUGACCUUGGAUUAGUGAAAGUAUCCAGGUAGAGUUGAUGUGUCUCAUAAUGGUGAUGUGAUCAAGGUGUCUGGACAGAAAGGAUACAUCUUGUGUAUUUUCCAGGUUCCUGUCCAGAUAUCACUCUGAAACAAGGAUUGAUGUUAACGGUGGCCACUGUUGGAGUCCAGGUUCCUGUCAAGAGAGAGACAUUCUGGUGGUUGUUCUCUGGGGACAUUUCUGUGCCCAGGUAUGUAAUGAUGUGCACCUUCCCCUAACAGACAUCUCAUCUUCUCAUAUCUAGGUCAGUGUUAGGAUUGAAUAAACUUAUUUACCAUGUGUUUUAUUUUCAAGAAGUCAGGUAAGAAAUCAUAGUAUGUUUACCAGUUGUAGCAAUCCUGAUAUGCUACUGUCUGUGAUCUUAGAGAAAAUGUAUGCUUAGUCAUGGGAGUGUUGAGUGGCUGGUGGGUAUCCACACCAUGACAGUGGAAUUGUGUGGUACACUAGUAACCAUGGUGCUUUGGCAAGUAAGCUGGGAAGAGAUGAUGCUAUGUCGAAAUUUGGCAUAGAUCUUGGAGUCCUACAUGAAUCCAGGGAGAACCGAUGGGUCCUGCAGUGAUGGCCACCCAUAAGGCUGUUUGAAAUUUCCUGGUAGAAAAGGUACGUCCAUAGACAUAUCUGUCACAAAGGGCUUUUUACAGUCUGGUCAAGAAGUCAUGGUGAAUCUCAAAAUGAUCUUGAAUGGAACUUUGCUUCUCUCCAGAUAAGUGUUGCUAUGGCAUUUAGCACCUAUAAUAUGAUCUUCAGAUAUGUAGGUCUGAGGGAGGGUGUUCCUAAUUAUUCUGUUACCAUCUUGUUUUAUUUAAGCAGCUAUUCAUUUAAGAAGUGGCAUUUUCCAUCACAACCUUGUAGAUCAACUAUAGUUCAGUAAAACUUUAAAAAAUGGAAAAAAAAAAGAAAAUUGACAUAGUCACAACUAGUGCUUGUAUUUGCCUUUUUUUUUUUUUUUAAGAUUUUUGAUAUAGUGUGUAUUUAAACUUAGUAGUAACAGAGGGUUAUUCAGGUCCAGGUAAUUUAUUCUACUUUUGCAGUGUUAACCAUGACAUUUCUACAGAUUCUCCUAGAAGAGAUGAUAGUGUGCCUCACAAUGGUGUUGACCUUAAAGUUCUUCCAAGGUUCAUAUAGUGCAUAUGCUCCUCUAAUGAUGGAAGCAAGCAAGAUUAUCUUCAAAGGUACUUAUUUGGCAGAUAAAUAAGAAUGUCCUUUAACACAGUUGUCUAAUGCAUUUCUCAAGGUUCUAGUCAGCAUCGUGAAUAUAAUUAACCAAAUAAUAGUUGUCAGUGGGACCUUGUUAGAAACCAGGUUGGUGAAAAGGUGGCUUCCAGCCCAGUACAGAUCAUUAGAUGUUCAGUUAUCGAGCACGUAAGAAUGGUGUCUAACACAGUGCACCACACUUUUUUGUAGGUUUCCCAUUACUUUCUUUGUCUAGUGUACAGGUAUGAGAUGAUGUGACAUUAAUUCAUUAGAUACCGUCGUUUCUUCAGAUACGUAGGUAGUGAUGUUGACCUUGAAGAUCUUUCAAGAUCCACAGAGUAUCAAGGAUUCCCCUGAUGAUAGAAAAAUAACCAGAAGUAAUUACGUGUAUUCUUCAGGUAAAACAUUUUUUUCCUUAAAACCCUUGUCAGUUGUGUUCUUACAUGUUAUAGUAGUGAUGACCCUAUAGCAGACCUAGGAAUGGUCAUCAAUGGGACCCUGCUAGUAACCAGGUAAGUGAUAUUGAGGGUCUUGCAGCCCAGUAUAGACCAUCUGGUCUUCAGAGAUGUCUGUGUAAGUGAGGAUGAUGUCCCCAACACCAGACACAGUGAUACUGUGUUUUUUCCUGCAGGUACCCUGUUAAAGUGUUUGCUAGUAUGAAGGUAUUUUCAGAUAAAUAAGGAAUAAAUGAUAUUUUGCAGACACUUUAUAGUUUAUCUUACAUUUAACUAUAUUAACUAUAUAUUUGGCUUGUAUGCAGUAAAGCUAUUAAUCUGUCAUUAACAUACUCGUAAGCAUGAUAUUUUCCUACAUUCGAGUUCCAAAAUACCAUUUUACCCACCUCUACUGACAAAAGGAUAUGCAGAUAUCCAGGAAAUUUAUCAUACUGUUCAUCACCGCAAUAUAGACCGUAGAAUUUCGAGGUAGCCUUUCAAGAGAAGAAGGCAUCUCUUACUAAGAUUUAGUCCAGGUAAUGGCGAUGAGUCUCACAGUUAUGCAGUGGAACAAAGGGAUCUGAAGGUGGACACUAGAAUGAUAUGUACUUCAAGCACAUCCUCUAAAUGCGUCUUCGGGUUCGUGAUGGUAAGCAUCUCAAUGUAGUUAAAGUUGCUGGUAUCUAGGUGAGUGAUGGUGUGGGCCUAACCCACAUCAUAGACCAUCUCUGCCUCAUGUAUGUGGGUAAGUGAAUAUGCUUGCCUUCCUAACACUUCUUCUUAAAAAGAUUUUUUUGCAGGUAUUCAGCUGAGAAAUACUAAGAGUUCAUACUAAUUCCAAUAACCAUGAGUUUACGCUUUGUAUAUUUUAGUGAAAAUAUGUUUUAUCUUGUAAGUAUUGAGGAGUCAGUUAUGUUCCCAGUAGUUGUUGUGAAGUCUCCUCACUGUUGUAACCAUUGGAUUUUUACAGGAAUCCAGGAAAGUGAUACUGAUCUCUUCUGACAGCAGUGUUGACCUCGAAUGAAUGCAGAGAUCCAGGUAGCAAUGAUGUGUUCCAUGAUAACGGAGGUGCACACGGUUAGAUGCAGGUGUCCUGGUAGAACAGUGUUUGUCUUACACAGAUUUGUUGCAUGUAUUUCUUCAGGAUCCUGUUAAGACAACAGGGUAAACCUAGCAGUGUGAUGACUAACAAAAGCUUUCUAGUAACCAGGUAAGUGUGAAAGUGGGUCUCACCACAGUGCACACCAUCUGAACUUCAGGGUCUAGGUGAAUGAGGAUGGUGUCCCUAAUAUUUGUGUUCAUGUCUUCUUUUUGCAGGUGUCAGGUUCAGAUCUUUCCUUGUCACACAAGGAUGAGAUGAGGGGAUAUUCACUAAUUAAAGACAUUGUUAUAUUCCGAUGGCUACGUGAUUCAUGAUCAGUCUUUUAUAUUUACUUUGUUUUUGGCAUGUUAUCAGAUUUGGCUUUCCAACAUUGGUAUUGACCUUGAAUUACUGCAAGUAACCAGGUAGAGUUGAUGUGUCUCAUAAUGGUGACGUGACCAAGAUGUGUAGGUAGAAAGGACACAUUUCCUAUCUUUUACAGGUUUGUGUCCACACAUCACUCUGAACUGAGCAUUAAUGUUAACAGGGGACACGGUCGGGGUCCAGGUUUGUGAUGAUUGUGACCCUGUCACUUGUUACCAUGGCUUCUCUGCAGGUAUUCAGGUAAUGGUUGAUUCCUUACCAGUUCUUAAUACCAUGAACUUUCAGUUUUCAUGCUUUAGAGAAUAUCUUUAACUCUGUGACUCAUGAGCAAUUACACAUAGCAGGUAUUGAUUAUGAUUGCUCAAGCACAGUAGUGAUCAUGGAAUUUCUGCAGGUAUCUUGUAAAGAAGUGUUAUUUCCUGACAAGGGUCAUGCCCUAGGAGAACUGCAAAUAUUCAAGUAGAGUUGAUCAUAAUGCUGUCAAUGACGGAGCUUGUUUGCAAGUGUCCUAGUAGAGUAAGCUAUGUCCUUUUAUACGUGUAUCAUAAUGUGCUUUUCAGGUUCUGCCAAGAGAUGAAUAUUCAUUCUGAUGGUCAUUCUCUGGGGACAUUUCUUUGUCUGGGUAGGUAAUGAUGUGCACCUUUCCCAGCAGACAUUGCAUCUUCUCAUAUCUAGGUCUCUGUUCGGAUUGACUAAAUUUACUUAUCAUGUGGAUUUUUUCAGGUAAUCAGAUAAGAAAUGAUAGUAUUUUUACCAAUGGUAGCAAUCCUGAUAUGCUGCUGUUUGCAAUUUUAGAAAAAAAAAUGUAUGCUUACUCAUGGGAGUGUUCAUUGGCUCUUGAAUAUCCACAUCAUGAUGGUGGAAUUGUGUGGCACAGCAGUAACCAUGGUGCUUUUGCCAGGGGGCUGGGAGGAGAUGCUGGCGUGUCGAACUUUGGCAUAAAGCUUGGAGUCCUGCAUGAAGCCAGAGAGAACCGAUGGGUCCUGCAGUGAUGGCUACACACAGGGUUAUUUGAAGAGUCCUAGUAGAAAUUGUGCCUCCAUACACAUAACUGUCACAAGGGGCUCUUUGCAUUCUAGUCAAGAAAUCACAGUGAAUCUGAAAAUGAUCCUGAAUAGGCCUUUGAUGUCUCCAGAUAUUCAUUUCAGAAAUUAAUCACAAACUUGUCAGAUUCCCUGUUGUGGCUCAGUGGUAAUGAACCUGACUAGUAUACAUGAGGACUCAUGUUCGGUCCCUGGCCUCGCUCAGUGGGUUAAGGAUCCGGCGUUGCUAUGGUGAGCUACAGUGUAGGUCGCAGACAUGGCUCGGAUCUGUCAUUGCUGUGGCUGUGGCUUAGGCUGGUGGCUGUAGCUCCAGUUUGAGCCCUAGCCUGGGAACUAUGCUGUGGUUGUGGACCUAAAAAGACCAAGAAAAAAAAA